UAACAUGGUGGAAGCUGCAUACCUUCACAUUGGAGUGCCUGAAACGUUCUGAAAAAACACUGUGCAGGAGUCCUGGCUCAGUCCUGAAGAAGAGACGGGAACUGCAGUUGAGUUCAUCGUGCUUCGCAGACAGGUCAGUUCAUACAGCUUUACUUAGACUGUUCUGAUCAUCACUGUCUCACAAAAACCUUGUAUCUGAUUAAAGU
This is a long non-coding RNA of Pygocentrus nattereri (red-bellied piranha), 206 nucleotides long. Lineage: Eukaryota; Metazoa; Chordata; Actinopteri; Characiformes; Serrasalmidae. The record is from Ensembl.